CCAAUAGCGUAUAUUAAAGUUGUUGCAGUUAAAAAGCUCGUAGUUGAAUUUUAGGCCUGACCGGGCGGUCCGUCUCUGGCGAGUACUGUUUCGUUGUCGGGUCUAUCCUUCUGGUGAGCCGGUAUGUCCUUUAUUGGGUGUGUCGGGGAACCAGGACCAUUACCUUGAAAAAAUUAGAGUGUUUAAAGCGGGCUAUUGCUUGAAUAGAUU
RNAcentral lists this ribosomal RNA (210 nucleotides) under uncultured Archaeospora. RNAcentral describes it as "partial small subunit ribosomal RNA". It matches the Rfam family "Eukaryotic small subunit ribosomal RNA", at positions 591 to 805 of the family's 1831-position model. Lineage: Eukaryota; Fungi; Glomeromycota; Glomeromycetes; Archaeosporales; Archaeosporaceae. The record is from RNAcentral.